RNAcentral lists this non-coding RNA (21 nucleotides) under Caenorhabditis elegans. The record is from RNAcentral. Lineage: Eukaryota; Metazoa; Nematoda; Chromadorea; Rhabditida; Rhabditidae.
UGAUGUCCCAUGUCGCAAUUC